GAUGAACGCUGGCGGCGUGCUUAACACAUGCAAGUCGAACGGACUUUAUUUGAAGCCUAGCGAUAAUAAAGUUAGUGGCGGACGGGUGAGUAACGCGUGGGUAACCUGCCGUAUGCUGGGGGACAACAGUUGGAAACGACUGCUAAUACCGCAUAAGCGCACAGUACCGCAUGGUACAGUGUGAAAAACUCCGGUGGCAUACGAUGGACCCGCGUCUGAUUAGCUAGUUGGUGAGGUAACGGCCCACCAAGGCGACGAUCAGUAGCCGGCCUGAGAGGGUGAACGGCCACAUUGGGACUGAGACACGGCCCAAACUCCUACGGGAGGCAGCAGUGGGGAAUAUUGCACAAUGGGGGAAACCCUGAUGCAGCGACGCCGCGUGAGUGAAGAAGUAUUUCGGUAUGUAAAGCUCUAUCAGCAGGGAAGAAAAUGACGGUACCUGACUAAGAAGCCCCGGCUAACUACGUG
RNAcentral lists this ribosomal RNA (468 nucleotides) under uncultured bacterium. RNAcentral's name for it is "bacterial SSU rRNA". It matches the Rfam family "Bacterial small subunit ribosomal RNA", at positions 28 to 507 of the family's 1533-position model. The record is from RNAcentral.